GCCGAGUUAGUAUAAUUUUAGUACUUCGGAUUUCGGCUCCGAAUGUUUUAUCGGUU
This 56-nucleotide transfer RNA is filed under the name Acrobeloides varius. RNAcentral describes it as "tRNA-Arg". The record is from RNAcentral. Lineage: Eukaryota; Metazoa; Nematoda; Chromadorea; Rhabditida; Cephalobidae.